GACGAACGCUGGCGGCGUGCUUAACACAUGCAAGUCGAACGGUGAAGGGACCGGUUUUUGCUGGUUCUGGAUGAGUGGCGAACGGGUGAGCAACACGUGAGUAACCUGCCCCCUUCUUCUGGAUAACCGCAUGAAAGUGUGGCUAAUACGGGAUAUUCUGCGCCUGCUGCAUGGUGGGUGUGGGAAAGAUAUUGUUUCGGUGGGGGAUGGGCUCGCGGCCUAUCAGCUUGUUGGUGGGGUGAUGGCCUACCAAGGCGGUGACGGGUAGCCAGCCUGAGAGGGUGGACGGUCACACUGGGACUGAGACACGGCCCAGACUCCUACGGGAGGCAGCAGUGGGGAAUAUUGCACAAUGGGCGCAAGGCUGAUGCAGCGACGCCGCGUGAGGGAUGGAGGCCUUCGGGUUGUAAACCUCUUUCGCCAGUGAAGCAGGCCUGUCCCUUUUGUGGGUGGGUUGACGGUAGCUGGAUAAGAAGCGCCGGCUAACUACGUG
This 493-nucleotide ribosomal RNA is filed under the name uncultured bacterium. RNAcentral's name for it is "partial 16S ribosomal RNA". It matches the Rfam family "Bacterial small subunit ribosomal RNA", at positions 28 to 507 of the family's 1533-position model. The record is from RNAcentral.